Molecule: transfer RNA, 54 nt
Filed under: Phyllocoptes taishanensis
Lineage: Eukaryota; Metazoa; Arthropoda; Arachnida; Trombidiformes; Eriophyidae
Description: tRNA-Ser
Source: RNAcentral
GCUUAAGAGAAACAUUCUAAAGCUUCUAACUUUAACAAAAAAGUUUCUUAAUAG